RNAcentral lists this ribosomal RNA (497 nucleotides) under uncultured bacterium. Its description in RNAcentral is "partial 16S ribosomal RNA". It matches the Rfam family "Bacterial small subunit ribosomal RNA", at positions 28 to 507 of the family's 1533-position model. The record is from RNAcentral.
GAUGAACGCUGGCGGCGUGCCUAAUACAUGCAAGUCGAGCGAACAGACGAGGAGCUUGCUCCUCUGACGUUAGCGGCGGACGGGUGAGUAACACGUGGAUAACCUACCUAUAAGACUGGGAUAACUUCGGGAAACCGGAGCUAAUACCGGAUAACAUGUUGAACCGCAUGGUUCAACAGUGAAAGACGGUCUUGCUGUCACUUAUAGAUGGAUCCGCGCCGCAUUAGCUAGUUGGUAAGGUAACGGCUUACCAAGGCAACGAUGCGUAGCCGACCUGAGAGGGUGAUCGGCCACACUGGAACUGAGACACGGUCCAGACUCCUACGGGAGGCAGCAGUAGGGAAUCUUCCGCAAUGGGCGAAAGCCUGACAGAGCAACGCCGCGUGAGUGAAGAAGGUCUUCGGAUCGUAAAACUCUGUUAUUAGGGAAGAACAAAUGUGUAAGUAACUAUGCACGUCUUGACGGUACCUAAUCAGAAAGCCACGGCUAACUACGUG